RNAcentral lists this ribosomal RNA (484 nucleotides) under uncultured bacterium. Its description in RNAcentral is "partial 16S ribosomal RNA". It matches the Rfam family "Bacterial small subunit ribosomal RNA", at positions 30 to 507 of the family's 1533-position model. The record is from RNAcentral.
AUUGAACGCUGGCGGCAGGCCUAACACAUGCAAGUCGAGCGGAUGAAGGGAGCUUGCUCUUGGAUUCCGCGGCGGACGGGUGAGUAAUGCCUAGGAAUCUGCCUGGUAGUGGGGGAUAACGUCCGGAAACGGGCGCUAAUACAGCAUACGUCCUGAGGGAGAAAGUGGGGGAUCUUCGGACCUCACGCUAUUAGAUGAGCCUAGGUCGGAUUAGCUAGUUGGUGGGGUAAAGGCCUACCAAGGCGACGAUCCGUAACUGGUCUGAGAGGAUGAUCAGUCACACUGGAACUGAGACACGGUCCAGACUCCUACGGGAGGCAGCAGUGGGGAAUAUUGGACAAUGGGCGAAAGCCUGAUCCAGCCAUGCCGCGUGUGUGAAGAAGGUCUUCGGAUUGUAAAGCACUUUAAGUUGGGAGGAAGGGCAGUAAGUUAAUACCUUGCUGUUUUGACGUUACCAACAGAAUAAGCACCGGCUAACUUCGUG